CAGAGGAUGUUUCUGGCGCGGUGCCUUCCGAGUUCCCUGGAACGGGACGCCACAGAGGGUGAGAGCCCCGUAUGGUUGGAUACUAAGCCUGUGUGAAACUCCUUCGACGAGUCGAGUAGUUUGGGAAUGCUGCUCAAAAUGGGAGGUAAAUCUCUUCUAAAGCUAAAUACCGGCCAGAGACCGAUAGCGCACAAGUAGAGUGAUCGAAAGAUGAAAAGCACCUUGAAAAGGGGGUUAAACAGUACGUGAAAUUGUUGAAAGGGAAGCGCUCAUGACCAGACUUGUGCUGGGCAGCUCAUCCGGGGUUCUCCCCGGUGCACUCUGCCCAGUUCAGGCCAGCAUCGAUUUUUGCUGGGGGAUAAGAACGGCAGGAACGUGGCCCUCCUUCGGGAGGGUGUUAUAGCCUGCCGUACGAUACCCUGGCGGAGAUCGAGGUUCGCGCAUCUGCAAGGAUGCUGGCGUAAUGGUCAUCAGCGACCCGUCUUGAAACACGGACCAAGGAGUCGUCCAUUAGAGCGAGCGUUUGGGUGUAAAACCCGCACGCGUAAUGAAAGUGAAAUUAGGUGAGAGCUUCGGCGCAUCAUCGACCGAUCCUGAUGUUCUCGGAUGGAUUUGAGUAAGAGUUUUAACGGACGGACCCGAAAGACAGUGAACUAUGCUUGUAUAGGGUGAAGCCAGAGGAAACUCUGGUGGAGGCUCGCAGCGGUUCUGACGUGCAAAUCGAUCGUCAAAUAUGAGCAUGGGGGCGAA
RNAcentral lists this ribosomal RNA (750 nucleotides) under Coniella fici. Its description in RNAcentral is "partial large subunit ribosomal RNA". It matches the Rfam family "Eukaryotic large subunit ribosomal RNA", at positions 151 to 927 of the family's 3401-position model. Lineage: Eukaryota; Fungi; Ascomycota; Sordariomycetes; Diaporthales; Schizoparmaceae. The record is from RNAcentral.